UGAGUAAACGUGGAAACGUGCCUUUAUGUUCUGAAUAACUCUCGGAAACUUGUGCGUAAUACCUAAUGUGCCCUUCGGAGGAAAGAUUUAUCCCCUUUAGAGCGGCCCGCGUCUGAUUACCUAGUUGGUUGAAGUCAUGGCUCACCAACGCGACGAUCAGUAACUGGUCUGACAGGAUGAUCACCCACAUUGGGACUGAGACACGGCCCAAACUCCUACGGGAGGCAACACUGGCCAAUCUUGCGCAAUGGGCGAAAGCCUGACAACAUCCCUGCCGCGUGAAUGAUCAGAGUCUUAGGAUUGUAAAAUUCUUUCACCGGGGACGAUAAUGACGGCACCCGGAGAAGAAGCCCCGGCUAACUUCCUGCCACCAGCCGCGAUAAUACGAAUGGCGCUAGCGUUGCUCGGAAUUACUGGGCGUAGAGGGAACGUAUGCGACAUUUAAUUCACGUGUGAAAUCCCGGGGCUCAACCUCGCAACUGCCUUUGAUACUGGGUGUCUUGACUAUGAUAUACGUGUGUGGAACUCCGAGUGUAGAGGUGAAAUUCAUACAUAUUCUCAAGAACACCAGUGGCAAAGGCCACACACUGGCUCAAUACUGACUCUCAAGCUCGAAUCCGUGGGGAGCAACAAGAUUAAAUACCCUGGUAUCCACGCCGAACACGAUUAUAGCUCCUUGUCGGCAUGCAUGCAUUUCGUUGACGCUACUAACUGCGAUACGCUAUCCGCCUGGGGAGUCGGUCUCAAGAUUAAACUCCCAGGAUUGA
RNAcentral lists this ribosomal RNA (767 nucleotides) under Caulobacteraceae bacterium. RNAcentral's name for it is "bacterial SSU rRNA". It matches the Rfam family "Bacterial small subunit ribosomal RNA", at positions 107 to 913 of the family's 1533-position model. The record is from RNAcentral. Lineage: Bacteria; Pseudomonadati; Pseudomonadota; Alphaproteobacteria; Caulobacterales; Caulobacteraceae.